Long non-coding RNA from Lycium barbarum (goji berry), 558 nucleotides. RefSeq lists it as uncharacterized. The record is from RefSeq and is a predicted model, not a curated record. NCBI's taxonomy places the organism in Eukaryota, Viridiplantae, Streptophyta, Magnoliopsida, Solanales, Solanaceae. The transcript is spliced from 2 exons.
CUCUCAACACAAAGAUCCUUUCUUAAGUUACGCAGAUUGAGAUAUGAGGUAAAAUAAUAUCUCAAUAGAUGACUAACCCUCAGGGGUUGGCCUGGUGGUAAUUGGCUUGAGCCUUGGGGUUUGCUCCCUUUCAAGGCUAAUCAUAUUUAGUCGUGUUUUCCUCUUCUUGUACUGGCAAGCAUCUUCACCCUCAAGUAAACUUCCCAUACAAGGAAUACUACUACUACUACUAACAAACAUCUCAUGACAAUUCCACCCCCAACCCAUAGAGAAAACAACAAAAAGGGGAAGAAAUAUAAGGUCAAAACAUUCUCCUCCAAAUCCACCAACAAAGAAAAAGGCAACAUACACAUGACAAGUUUCUCACUACCCCAUAAAAAAUUUGAAACAAGGAAGAUUAUCAACCCCAAACUCUUCUUAAAAAACAUCUUCCCAAAAGACUAUUAACCCCAUACAAGUCCGGGCAGGCUGCACAAAUCUUCUUUAACCAUUCACUUCAGGCCAUAAAAUUACAAGGUCGUUCAGAAUAGUUUACUCCCGCCAACCAAAAAAGAAAAA